GCCCCUGUCGUCUAGUGGCCUAGGACACUGGCCUUUCACGCCGGUAACACGGGUUCGAAUCCCGUCGGGGGUA
Molecule: transfer RNA, 73 nt
Filed under: Actinomycetaceae bacterium
Lineage: Bacteria; Bacillati; Actinomycetota; Actinomycetes; Actinomycetales; Actinomycetaceae
Description: tRNA-Glu
Rfam family: tRNA
About the family: Transfer RNA (tRNA) molecules are approximately 80 nucleotides in length. Their secondary structure includes four short double-helical elements and three loops (D, anti-codon, and T loops).
Source: RNAcentral